This 253-nucleotide ribosomal RNA is filed under the name uncultured bacterium. RNAcentral describes it as "partial 16S ribosomal RNA". It matches the Rfam family "Bacterial small subunit ribosomal RNA", at positions 524 to 776 of the family's 1533-position model. The record is from RNAcentral.
UACGGAGGGUGCAAGCGUUAUCCGGAUUCACUGGGCUUAAAGGGAGCGUAGGUGGGUUGGUAAGUCAGUGGUGAAAUCCCCGAGCUUAACUUGGGAACUGCCAUUGAUACUAUCAGUCUUGAAUACUGUGGAGGUUAGCGGAAUAUGUCAUGUAGCGGUGAAAUGCUUAGAUAUGACAUAGAACACCAAUUGCGAAGGCAGCUGGCUACACAAUUAUUGACACUGAGGCUCGAAAGCGUGGGGAUCAAACAGG